GACGUAGGAUGCGAGCGUUGUUCGGAGUUACUGGGCGUAAAGGGUGCGUAGGCGGCUUGAUAAGUGGGCGGUGAAAGCCUGGAGCUCAACUCCAGAGACGCCGCCCAGACUGUCGAGCUCGGAGGACGGCAGAGGGGUGUGGAAUUCCCAGUGUAGCGGUGAAAUGCGUAGAUAUUGGGAGGAACACCAGUGGCGAAAGCGACACCCUGGGUUAGUCCUGACGCUGAGGCACGAAAGCGUGGGGAGCAAACGGG
This 254-nucleotide ribosomal RNA is filed under the name uncultured bacterium. RNAcentral describes it as "partial 16S ribosomal RNA". It matches the Rfam family "Bacterial small subunit ribosomal RNA", at positions 524 to 776 of the family's 1533-position model. The record is from RNAcentral.